This is a long non-coding RNA of Ipomoea triloba (trilobed morning glory), 586 nucleotides long. RefSeq lists it as uncharacterized. The record is from RefSeq and is a predicted model, not a curated record. The transcript is spliced from 3 exons. Lineage: Eukaryota; Viridiplantae; Streptophyta; Magnoliopsida; Solanales; Convolvulaceae.
GACACUAAAAUGAUCUCAGCCUCUUGCUCCAAUCAGCAACCCUAUCCUAUGAUUCCUAUCACUACACCACGCCCUCCGCCGUUCUUACCCUCCACAACGUUCGAAAACCAAGCUCUCAUCUCAAUCUCUGAAAGCAAGAACCUAGUGUCGUUACCCUCAAAUUCCAUCUCUAUGAACUGAACAACUACACCACAAUCAUCAAUUUCUGAUUGACGAUCCUCGCGUCGAACAUAUCUGAUCGGAUUCAAUCUUCGCAAACCCUAAACUCCUACAAUCCGUUCGGCAGCCCGAUUUCCCGACCAUAUACCUCACAAUACUCUCCUUCAACGCUUACAAAAAACCCAUUUACUUUGUUAGAAUUUCAGUCCUAGAUUACCUUAAGCUUCGUCCACCUCGAGUCAAUUUCUUCUCGGUGCGAGUCGAAAUCAAAUCCCCAAACAGAUGGGCUCCAAAAGAAAAAACCAAAGCAGAGAAUACACUCACAAACAACAAUAUACCUAAGGUCUCCUCACAUUAAUCUGCCAAAUACCACCAAAAUGUCGGGGUGUAUAACUAACAGUUUGAGAUCUUAAAUGACAAGNAGCUA